CAGAUGACCAAAUAGCCCUGUCUCCAAUUAUCAGAAGCAGUCGUCCAGUGGUUCAUUCCUCUCCUCAAUUAUCAGAUGACCAAACAAUUGCUCUUCCUCUCCUCUUUUACGCUUUCUUCGUCGGUCCAGUGUUUCAUUCCCCAGUCAUCCACAGUCUUCCUUUCCUCCUUCACAGAACGAGUCACCGUCGGUGAAGAAGUUGCCGUCCAGCCAUGGUUUGAAGGUGCCGGUGAGAGAAAUCGCAGUUAUUAGUUGUGAGUUUCGGCGCUCAGGUUCGGUGUGAAGCAUUCGGCGGUGGUUGGUGUUCCCUGGCUCAGAUCCGGCGCUCAGGCUGGUGGAUUGGACACGCUCACUCAUAACAGCUUAGUAGCAUAUAGAUCUGCAAAUCAGCAGGCAGUGCAAAUUCCAUUUGCUCCAGUAAGACACAUCCCUCCGGCGCCGGCCGUCCAAAUCGCCGUCGUGGCUCAAUAGGAAGCAAAUCCAUUUGAAGUGCAAAUACCAUUUGCUCCAUCGAGCGACAUCCCUCAAAUGGCAGAUAUGGCUCAACCACAAGCGAAUCCAUUUGAUCAUUACACGCCCUAUUAUCAGUCUCAUCAGCAACAUGAUGUGUUGAUGAAUCUAGCCAAUCCCUUUGCUCAUAGGGCGUAUCCUGGGAAUCCUGUUUCGCAACCACAGGUCAUUCAUGGAGCGUUUCAUCAAGAAGCUAACAUCAGCCGAAAUUGGAAGCAUCCUCCAAGGGAAUAAUCGGUAUCGAUAUAUAUAAUGCAGAAAAUAGAAGCAGAGAGAAUGAAACUAUUUUGAUGUAUAAUGGCCAUGGACCUUGAUGAGAAUGAACUAUGUUGAUGUAUUGUGGAUCCAUAGAAUGAAUAAUGGAAUUAUUCAGUGAAUUGUC
Molecule: long non-coding RNA, 892 nt
Organism: Neltuma alba
Lineage: Eukaryota; Viridiplantae; Streptophyta; Magnoliopsida; Fabales; Fabaceae
Exons: 2
Source: RefSeq, a predicted model, not a curated record